RNAcentral lists this ribosomal RNA (771 nucleotides) under Triticum aestivum (bread wheat). Its description in RNAcentral is "partial small subunit ribosomal RNA". The record is from RNAcentral. Lineage: Eukaryota; Viridiplantae; Streptophyta; Magnoliopsida; Poales; Poaceae.
AUGGCCAAGUAUUGGUGGGGCAGUUCAAUAGACAAACGAUCCUUGCAUUGGGUGUCUUGGAAGAAACUUGCAACACCAAAAAUCAAGGGCGGGAUGGGUUUCAAAGAUUUGCAUCUUUUUAAUCUAGCUAUGCUAGGGAAGCAAGGCUGGAGACUUAUUACCCACCCGAAAACCCUUUGUUCCAGAGUUCUGAAAGGAAAGUAUUUCCCGUUGACAGACUUUCAGAAUGCCACUGUACCAGCUAGAUCAUCCAGCACGUGGAGAGCCAUUGUGGCGGGCAGGAAGGCUCUUAAUAUGGGCCUUAUAAAACGAGUUGGAGAUGGCACAUCGAUUGCGACCUGGAUGGACCGCUGGAUUCUGCACACUGUCACUAUGGAGCCAAUGGGGCGCACCGGUGUUGCUCAACUCAACAGAGUUUCGGAUUUGAUCGACAACUACACAAGGCAUUGGAAUAUGGAUGUUGUGCGACAAAAUUUCCUUCAUCCCGACGCAGAGGCUAUACUGAACAUCCCCUUAAACCCUGCGGGAGGAGAGGACUCGCUGGCUUGGGCUCAUGAAAGAUCAGGCAUCUACUCUGUAAAAUCCACGUAUCAUUCUCUUGUGACUCGUAACGAGCUUGGUUCUCUAGAGGAAGGGAUGAUCACAGAAUCAUCAUCGUCAAACGAACAUUUGUGGACUGCCCUAUGGAAGCUUCAUGUGGUACCAAAGGUCAGAGUAUUUUGGUGGAGAGUGCUGCGUGGGAUUCUCCCGGACUCGGUCACCUUGCAAUAG